Molecule: ribosomal RNA, 216 nt
Filed under: uncultured bacterium
Lineage: Bacteria
Description: partial 16S ribosomal RNA
Rfam family: Bacterial small subunit ribosomal RNA
Source: RNAcentral
UAGUCUGCAACCCGACUACAUGAGCUGGAAUCGCUAGUAAUCGCGGAUCAGAAUGCCGCGGUGAAUACGUUCCCGGGUCUUGUACACACCGCCCGUCACACCAUGGGAGUCGGAAAUGCCCGAAGUCAGUGACCCAACCACAACGUGAACUUUGUUCACGUGGAGGGAGCUGCCGAAGGUGGAGCCGGUAACUGGGUGAAGUCGUAACAAGGUACC